AGCCCCUUAGUUUUAUUUCUGACUUCAGCAAAGAUGAGUCACGGAGACCGUUACACCUCGUCGUCCUACCGGAAGAUUUUUGGGGAUUCUCCCAAGUUCCCCGUGUCCUCCUCUCGCAUGGGCAGCGCCUCUCACCGGGGCUCCCCGGGGCUCAGGUCCAUGGCUGGCUCCCGCAACAGCGGGUCCUCCCUGAGCCUGUACAGACGGGUCGGCCGCUCCACCUCUUAUUCUCCGGUACACAGCGACUCCCUUGACUUGACCCAGACCUCCGUGGUCAACAAUGAAUUCAAAGUUAUUAGAACUAACGAGAAGGAGCAGCUGCAGGGUCUGAACGACCGCUUCGCCGUGUUCAUUGAUAAAGUGCGGCACCUGGAGCAGCAGAAUAAGGUGUUAGAGAUGGAGCUGGUGUCACUACGGCAGAAGCAGGGUGAGCCGUCCCGUGUGGCUCAUCUCUACCAGCAGGAGCUGAUAGAACUGCGCUCACAGGUGGAUGAGCUGAGCCGGGACAAAAACCGCAUCCUGAUCGAGAGGAACAACAUGGAGGACGAGCUGCAGAAGCUCAGUGUGAAGUAUGAUGAGGAGGUGAAGGUACGGGAGGAAGCUGAGCAGACCUUGAGGUCCUUCCGGAAGGAUGUGGAUGACGCCACAGCCGUUCGCCUGGACCUGGAGCGCCGUGUGGAGUCACUGAUGGAUGAAAUCUCCUUCCUGAGGAAAGUGCACGAUGAGGAAAUCCAGGAGCUGAGCAGCAUGAUGGAGGAGCAGCAUGUCUCCGUGGAGCUCGAACCCGCCAAACCGGACCUCACCUCGGCUCUGAAGGAGAUCCGCAACCAGUACGAGUCCAUCGCCUCCAAAAACCUGCAGUCUGCCGAGGAGUGGUACAAGAGCAAGUUUGCUAGCCUCAGCGAGCAGGCCGCCAGGACCAACGAGGCCAUGCGGGCUAGCAGGGAGGAGAUCAGUGAGUUCAGGAGGCAGCUGCAGUCCAAGACGAUUGAGAUAGAGUCCCUGAGGAGCGCCAACGAGUCUUUGGAGAGGCAGAUCACAGAGAUGGAGGAUGCACACAACGCUGAAGUCACAGCCAUGCAGGCAGAUUUUCUCAUUUACCUCUUCUGGACACUAUUGGCCACCUGGAUACUGAGCUGAGGAACAUGAAGGGUGAGAUGGCCCAGCACCUGAGAGAGUAUCAAGACCUGCUCAAUGUCAAGAUGGCCCUGGAUAUAGAGAUAGCUGCCUACAGGAAACUGCUGGAGGGGGAGGAGACUCACUUUAACUCAGGGAUAUCCUUUGGUGCUGCCAGCUACAGCUACCAGCCUCGAGCGACAGCGUCCAGGAGCAGCCAGAGGGAGAAAGAGGGGGCCACCAAGGAAAGCUUCAAGGAGAGCAGUGAGGAUAAAGAUGAAGCAGACAUCAACUCCAACAACUGAAGGAAGACAGGCAGGGAAAUCUGGAAAGUGGGAAAAGAGAUACGCCGUAUAUGUAUAGUGAGUCAUAGUCACAUACUGUAUUUGUUAAGUGCAACACUAAGACGUUUUGGAAUUAGAGCUGGGUGAUUACCAACAUCUUGUAGCUGAAACAUUCUUCUAAUAAAUACAUUGGACGUUUUUCCUAGGACAUAGGUCUCAGCAUUUAGAUGAUCUUUGGACUCAUCUAAGCUUCGUUUCGUUUAUUUCACACAUCAUUGUAUCAUUAAAAUACAAUUUCAGAAGGUACAAUGAUCAUAUGUAGGCCACGUGAAAUGGGGAUCCCCAAACAAGCAACUAAAAGCUUUUCAGAGGGGGCCCAAGCAAACGUUCAACACUUAUUACCAAAGGAAAAUGACCUGAAAAUCUAGAACAAAUGCACUGUACAUCCCUAGAGGAAAUAAACAUAUAAAUAAUAAAAAAAAUUUGACCAGGUAUUGAAUGUUCUGGGGAUGGAUUCUCAUUUUGCUGCUGUGUGAGAUUGCACUGAAACCUGUCUGGAUUGCUCAGAUAGACUUGUUUGUGUAGUUCCACUUCUGUUGUUGCAGCAUCUUUUCAAUGAACUUGUGCUAUGAAGUUAGUCAAGACUAUAUCAGCUGUUAAAUUUGAUGUUCUAAGUUUGAGCUUUAACAUGAGAGAGGUAAGGUUCAAAGUGUAUAACAGUCACUCUAUACUUAUUAAAGCACUUUAGGGUGUAUGGAGGACAUCAGUGUUUUGCAUUGUUUGGUUGUAUCAUACGACAUUACAAAGGUUGGUUAACAUGGUUUAUUACGAUGUACACAAUGCAUUAGCUGUGAAAAACAUUCAGAACAUGCAGUCCAACUGGUAGUACAUGUCAUCUCACCUGGCUGCAGUGUCAAUGUAUACACCUAGUGGAAAACCACUCACUGUUGGUUUAGUUGCACUGAAUAACGCAAUGAAUAAAAUGACAAAUUGACU
RNA transcript from Sander lucioperca (pikeperch), 2396 nucleotides. It is a transcript of the gene named internexin neuronal intermediate filament protein, alpha a, with no coding region annotated. The record is from RefSeq and is a predicted model, not a curated record. The transcript has 5 exons. NCBI's taxonomy places the organism in Eukaryota, Metazoa, Chordata, Actinopteri, Perciformes, Percidae.